Molecule: ribosomal RNA, 496 nt
Filed under: uncultured bacterium
Lineage: Bacteria
Description: SSU rRNA
Rfam family: Bacterial small subunit ribosomal RNA
Source: RNAcentral
AGGACGAACGCUGGCGGCGUGCUUAACACAUGCAAGUCGAGCGGAAAGGCCCUUCGGGGUACUCGAGCGGCGAACGGGUGAGUAACACGUGAGCAACCUGCCCUUAGCUCUGGGAUAGCUCCGGGAAACCGGAAUUAAUACCGGAUAUUACACCGGCUGACAUCGGCUGGUGUGGAAAGAUUUAUCGGCUAAGGAUGGACUCGCGGCCUAUCAGCUUGUUGGUGGGGUAGUGGCCUACCAAGGCGACGACGGGUAGCCGGCCUGAGAGGGCGACCGGCCACGACUGGGACUGAGACACGGCCCAGACUCCUACGGGAGGCAGCAGUGGGGAAUAUUGGACAAUGGGCGCAAGCCUGAUCCAGCAAUGCCGCGUGUGUGAAGAAGGCCUUCGGGUUGUAAAGCACUUUUAUCGGGAACGAAAUACUACUGGUUAAUAACCGGUGGGCUGACGGUACCCGAGGAAGUAAGCACCGGCUAACUUCGUGCCAGCAGCCGC